AAGGCUCUAGCUUAAUUAAAGUGUCUGUUUUGCAAGUAGAAGAUGUGGGUUAGUGUCCCGUGAGUCUUA
RNAcentral lists this transfer RNA (69 nucleotides) under Xenophallus umbratilis. RNAcentral's name for it is "tRNA-Ala". It matches the Rfam family "tRNA". Rfam says of the family: Transfer RNA (tRNA) molecules are approximately 80 nucleotides in length. Their secondary structure includes four short double-helical elements and three loops (D, anti-codon, and T loops). The record is from RNAcentral. Lineage: Eukaryota; Metazoa; Chordata; Actinopteri; Cyprinodontiformes; Poeciliidae.